UAGCAGUAGGUCAUGAGGAAGCAGCAGAGAGGAGGCAGUAGAGAGCAGAGGAGACAGCAGAGGACAGAGAAGAAGCAGCAGAGACCAAUCAGAAAGACACAGAGACUGAUUAAUACAGGUGUGGCUCUAGGAGUCACACUCUCUUGAUCCUUUGUGUCCACAUGGACUGUUGACUCUGCUCGUGGUACAGCACUGACUGCCGUUUAUUUUAGUUAGUAUUUUAUCUUUUAGCCAGAUUGAUUUAAUUGUUUUAUUGUUUUAAUUAUAGGAUUUUAAUUGUUUUAGAAUUUUAACAUUCUGUCUUCUUUUGUUCUUAGUGUUGCGGCUGGUGGGGUCCUCCAUUCACCGGUGUGGUUGAGACGCUGGGAGUUCACUUUAGUUGGUGAUAUGGUUUGCGGUUGCACAUUGUAUUAGUUUGGUGUUUUCAUUUGAAGUGUGAUGGAUUUGUAUUUCUUUUGUAUAUUUAGUUCCUCCCAGUGUCCUAGGCAGUGAGUGGUUGGUCUCCCAGCCGUGAUAUGACUGUCUGUCCUCUCUUCCUUCAUACUGUGUUCUUUUAGAAUUUUAUUUGUAUAAUAAAUGGCAGAUUGACCCACAUUGA
Long non-coding RNA from Stegastes partitus (bicolor damselfish), 598 nucleotides. RefSeq lists it as uncharacterized. The record is from RefSeq and is a predicted model, not a curated record. The transcript has 2 exons. Lineage: Eukaryota; Metazoa; Chordata; Actinopteri; Pomacentridae.